Molecule: ribosomal RNA, 223 nt
Filed under: uncultured bacterium
Lineage: Bacteria
Description: partial 16S ribosomal RNA
Rfam family: Bacterial small subunit ribosomal RNA
Source: RNAcentral
CGUAGGUAACCUGCCUGGUAGCGGGGGGUAACUAUUGGAAACGAUAGCUAAUGCCGCAUAAUAGCAGUUGUUGCAUGACAACUGUUUGAAAGGUGCAAUUGCACCACUACCAGAUGGACCUGCGUUGUAUUAGCUAGUUGGUGGGGUAACGGCUCACCAAGGCGACGAUACAUAGCCGACCUGAGAGGGUGAUCGGCCACACUGGGACUGAGACACGGCCCAG